GAGUUUGAUCCUGGCUCAAACGAACGCUGGCAGCGUGGAUUAGGCAUGCAAGUCGAACGAGACGCUUUUAUAUCAAUCCUUCGGGAGAGACUUAGAAGUUGAGAGUGGCGGAAGGGUGAGUAGCGCGUGGGCAAUCUACCCUGGAGUUGGGGAUAACGUUUGGAAACGAACGCUAAUACCGAAUAUGGUUCCUGGUCGCAUGACUGGGAUACUAAAGGUGGGGAUUCUUCGGAACCUGCCGCUCUUGGAGGAGCCCGCGUAUGAUUAGCUUGUUGGUGGGGUAACGGCUCACCAAGGCUUCGAUCAUUAGCUGGUCUGAGAGGAUGAUCAGCCACACUGGGACUGAGACACUGCCCAGACUCCUACGGGAGGCUGCAGUCGAGAAUCAUUCGCAAUGCGCGAAAGCGUGACGAUGCGACGCUGCGUGGAGGAUGACGGCCUUAGGGUUGUAAACUCCUGUCAUGAGGGAAAAGUUGUC
RNAcentral lists this ribosomal RNA (478 nucleotides) under uncultured bacterium. RNAcentral describes it as "bacterial SSU rRNA". It matches the Rfam family "Bacterial small subunit ribosomal RNA", at positions 9 to 454 of the family's 1533-position model. The record is from RNAcentral.